GCGGGUGUAGUGUAAUCAGGUAACAUACUACAUUUGGGAUGUAGAGUCGGGGUUCGAAUCCCACGCCUGCUACA
Molecule: transfer RNA, 74 nt
Filed under: bacterium
Lineage: Bacteria
Description: tRNA-Pro
Rfam family: tRNA
About the family: Transfer RNA (tRNA) molecules are approximately 80 nucleotides in length. Their secondary structure includes four short double-helical elements and three loops (D, anti-codon, and T loops).
Source: RNAcentral